GAAAGGGAAUGAUACACUGGAUUCCUCUGGACAGGGAUGCUGCUGCUUCACAGGACAUUCUGGAGAGCAGAGAUUCAAGAUCAAGACCUCCUUCUCUGGAGGUCUCUCCACUUUGCUGGAUUCCUGGACCAAAUACACAAGUAAAGGAAGAUGAAAGAAUGAAAAAGAUUCACGGUCUCUAGUUGGCUGAAUCAUCAGCAGGAAGUACGCAGAAGAUAACACAGGCUUGCGCUGCCUUCAUGAUAACCAAGAACAUUGGAGAUAAUCAUCUGAUUUAUCUAACUUUGCUCAGGUUACCCCUUGACCAAUGAUGCAAUUUAGGGCAACAAAAAUCUAGUAGAAACAUCUGUAAACUGAAACAGACCCAGAGGCCAGCAUCAAAAGGUGAAGUCAUGUCACAUGAUGACUCAACUGGAAACGUUUCAUGUGGAUGAGAGGAGACUUAGAAGAGAUAUGACAGCUGCCUUUGAAUAUUUGUAUGGAUGUCAACAAUAAAUAGUCACUUUCUUUUUCAUAGCCCCAUCAGGACAGUCUCUAGGGAAGCAGAUUCUGUUUCAAAAUAAAAAGAGCUUUCUAGAGCUGCCAAAAAUGGAAUAGGCUGUUCCCUGGCCCUAAAGAUGUCAAACAAGGAUGAAUAGUUAGGGAAAUCUGACCAUUACUCAACAUUUCCUAUUUAAUGUCCUUCCCUACUGGAGGGUAAAUGUUUUUCAGGCUUUUCUACCCUCCUACCAUUAGGAUUGCCUGCCUGAUGGGGCACCUGCAGUUGUUACAUUGUUGUGUUGUUUACUUCUGUGGGCCAUGGGAGGAGUAUAGACAGAGUCAGAAAGAGAAGCAGAAGCAAGAGAGAGGAGAGAGAAGGGUAGAAAGAUUCCAGAGAAUCCCAGAGAGAAGACUUGCCAGGGGCUUGGCCUCCUGGCCCCCCCAGCUCCUGCACCCCUGCCUGCCUUGUACCUGGUUGCUGCAAUGCAUGUAAAGUUCAAUAAAAGCCUAAA
Molecule: long non-coding RNA, 992 nt
Organism: Talpa occidentalis (Iberian mole)
Lineage: Eukaryota; Metazoa; Chordata; Mammalia; Eulipotyphla; Talpidae
Exons: 3
Source: RefSeq, a predicted model, not a curated record